Molecule: long non-coding RNA, 15889 nt
Filed under: Nicotiana tabacum (common tobacco)
Lineage: Eukaryota; Viridiplantae; Streptophyta; Magnoliopsida; Solanales; Solanaceae
Description: long non-coding RNA (NTAB_LNC011598)
Source: RNAcentral
UUUUUUUUUGGUUUUUUUCUUUGGAAAGAAUAAACUAAAAGAAGCUAACAGGUGUAACAAAGAAAGCCUAAUUUCAUCUUUCAAGAAUCAAUGUCAUCCAUUAUUUCGCCUCGAAGAACAUUUAGAGCAAGUUCUAGAAAAAUUAUUGAGUCUACCUUCUUGUGAUAAUAAUUUUUCUCAAUUCCUUUGAUCUUGUGAGUUGGAGACGCUAGUUUUGCCUUCACAAAAUUAAAGUCAUAGGCAUGGAACUGAUAUGAUAAUGAAGAAAAGACUUAAUAUUUGAGCACAAUAGAAAGAAUUUAUUUUACUAAUUAAAAACCUACAGUGACACAAACAUUAAGAAGAAAAUAUUUAUUAUAUCAUUAUAGAAAAAGAAAAAAAUAUAUAUAUAUACAUAUAUAAUUUUAUUUUAUUUUAUUUUUUGGAAAGGAAAAAGAAAAGAUUAACACAACCACCUAAGCCUUUAGUAGCAUGACCAUCAGUUUAAAAAGAAGAUAUAGAGAGAGUUAAAACCCGCCACAAUGCCACUUUGGGUGGCCUUGAAUUUCGGAAGCCAUAAGGUCAGGAAAGUCUCAUAGAGAUUGAGUUCCUUGUCCCUUCUUCACCUGCUACUUUUGUUCAUUGUAAUAACAACACUUGGCCAAAAUGAGAGUCAAGAAUAUAAGGAUGUCUUAAGUUAGUUUAAUGCACAACAACAUGAACUCAAACUCAUCAUAGAAACUUCAAAACCUUGGAACCAGAAUGAAUCAACUAAGACAAUAUUAUACUUCUAUAGAACAAAAUCAAACCUAAAAUAUAGGGAUGGAAAUAUGGCGGGGGAUUACAUAAGAAGCACAAGAGACAACAAUGAAAUAAACUACUAAUAUACCAUAAUAUAUAAUACUUCUUCGUAACUUUUCUUUCUCUGGAUAAGAGCUUAUCCAGAGAAAAACUAAUCCCUAAUUGUGCUGGGUUUUUUUUUUCAUUUUCCUUCACAGAAAAAAAUAAAUAAAUAUUAUAUGUUAGGUAAAGAUUAAUAGUAAAAACACAAAGACAAGAAUACUAUUAAGAAAAACGAGACAAAUUAUACUACUUCAUGCUUGAUUAAUAUUCACAUAAUUUUUACACCAGUUAGUUAAGCUUAAUCACUCCUACCAUCUUAUCCUUUCUAGCACCAAAAUAGCCCAGCAAAAGCAAUCCAAAAACAGUAGUUCCACUAGAAAACAUCCCUACUAGUUAAAGUUAUGAGGUGAUAAAAUACUACUACACCUUAUCAUUCCCCUAAAGCAGAAACAUAAAUAGAUAUCCUAGCAAAGCAAAUUCCAACCCUUCUACCAUGCUUGAACGUUUCAUCCUCCUGGAUAAAAACGAGUCUCUGGACGAGACUAAAUAUCUGAACGAUCACCAUCACAUCCACGAUUUUCACCGCGAUUAGUGACGAUCACAUCCACCCAAUCAAAGUCAGAGGGCAUAAUCUCUUCCCCUAUAAUCUGUUGUCCAAUUCCAGAACCCUCCAUAGGCCUUAUAGUGCCUCUUGCCUGACAGAAAGGGGUGCACCCGUCAAAGUUGUCGCCGAAGUCCUGAAGGCCGGCAAAUAUAUUACUACUGGUUUCAGAAAAAGCAGGAGCUACUAGAGCAGGUGGGGGUGGUGCAUAUUCAGGUUGUGGAAGUGGUUGUUCCAUGUUGACAUAGUUGUCUGGAAUAACAAGAUUGGGAAACUUGGGAAUAGGACAACAUGAUGGAUCCACAAACUGAAAUUGGUGAAAUUGACCUGGUUCAGUGUAUCCCAACUUCGACUCGCUCAUUCAUUUUACAAAGUUAGCGAGUGCCCAAAUCGUGGUAGUAUUAUAAGGCAUUUCCUGCAUUUUGAUAUGUUCAAUCCUCUCCAACUUAUGCAUCAACAUUUGGAUUUCAGCUCAGAGAAUGUCAAACCUUGUAUUGAAGAAUUCCAUAAUGCACCUUGGAAGCACUGGUGCUUGUUUUCUUCUAUUCCCAUACAUCGGCUCUUCUUCUCCCUCUGUUUUCUUUGGACCAUAUGUAUCCUCCAUUCUUGCCCAAACAGCUUUGUUGAUUUAAUUCUCCGAAAUUGUCGGGUUCAUGGUCAGAGCAGGUAUGACUCCAGCAUCCAAGAUCAACUUAGUUAUUGUGGAUGGAAACCACCACUUCUUCUUUUUUGAGUUAAAACGACACUCCCUGAUAUUCUCAUUAAUCACAUUACCCACAUUAAGAUCCAUCUUAGAGCAAAUGACAUAAAUAAUGGAAAAUCUGUUCAUAAAGAUGUUAGUGCUAUUGGUAUUUGGGACCAAUCGACUACUAACAAAAUUUAGAAUUGCUCUUGACUUAUAGCAGAUAUUAAUACCAAGAAUGCUGCUCUUUUUCCAUUUUUUGUCAAAGCCCCAGGUUGCUCCAAAUGGACAAAGUUUUUCUUCCAUUAAAUCUAAAUUUGGAGAUUUGAGAAAUGCUCGGGUUACCUUAUCAUUGACAUCAGGGAGGUCGUACACCUUGUUGAUCUUUUCGGGUGAGUAGUCCACGGUCACCCCUCUUACAAUGGAUACAUUGGUGCUUUUGUCUAAGUUGUUGUAAAAUUUUGUCACCAAAUCCACAUAAAAGUUCCCUGGUUGCUUUGCAAAAUCCUUCCACUGGUGAUGUUCGAUGAUUUCGUGAAUGAAGGCAUCCUCAAUGCCAUCUUUGGUGUCGAAAUUCAUCCCCUUCUCAUCGAUUGGGGUUUUUCUAUUUCGAAACCAUUUGUCACGAGGAGCAGAUGGUGAAGUUGCCAUGGUGGGGAAGAAUAGAAGAUUUAAAGAGAGGAAGAGAUUUGUAGUCAGAGAUGGUUUAAUUUCUGCGAAACCCACAUUUUCGGAUGUUCAAAACAGAUGGUCCCCUCUUAAUGUUUUAUAGUGACCAAUUUCUUCUCCAAAAUUUGUUGUGGUUGCAACUAUAGAGAGUUGUACUUGAAGCAGUACUUUGCAGCUUUAGGGUUUAUAUCUAUUGUUGUGACUAUAAGAGUGAUUGAUGGUCCUUCCUUGAGUGGUUUUUCUUUUAUACUCAUUAAACUUAAUUCUACACAUAAAGGAAAACAGUACCAUAUAUACACCNNNNNNNNNNNNNNNNNNNNNNNNNGUAUCAGAGCCUAGGAACUUUCAUGGUUUAUAUGAGAUAGAUCUGAAGUAUUCGACAUAGAUAUGUUAUUUUUUGUUAUGAAUUUAGGAGAAACUAGUAUCAAAAAUACUAGACUUGAAGAGGUAGAUAUACCUCAAAACCUUGAUUUAUUAAACAAAUGGACAAUUCCUAAAGUCCCUAUUAAAACAAUUUAUAAUAAACUUUCUUCAAAACAACUAGUUAAAACUACUGAGCAAUCUUUAGCUUUAAACUCGUCUGAACAGACUAUUCGUUUGUUAAACAAACAAGAUGUAGAUUUAUAUAAAAAUCAGUAUAAUUAUCUGCAUGUUGGUAUGGUUCAAAUUGAUUUUAAGCCAUUAACACUUAAAGGGUUACCAGAGACAUUUUUGACUGCUCUUAGAGAUGCUAGAAAUCUGAAUUUUAGAUAGUCUCUGAUGGGUUCUAUUGAAUCUACUGUGGCCUACGGUCCAGUAUAUUUUAAUACUCAACCCAAUCUUCAAUUAUCUCUAUCUGAUGUUAAUAUACUUGAUGCAUUGACAUUAAAUGUGAAAACACAUGGUUAUAAUUAUGUGCCUGGAUCUGAACUUAUAUGUUUAUCUUAUAGAAUUUAUUUUAAAUUAUUAUCUACGUUAAACCUUAGAUGUAAACUGUAUGAUACUUCCGAUCAGACUAUAAUGGUGGAAACCAAUUUUGCAAAGUCUAAGGUCACCGUUUAUCCCAUUAGAGCCAUGGACGGAGUCAAGAGAGAUGGUGAUCGUGAACCAAGAUCAAGCAGGGAUCGGUAUCAGCCAUACAAUGGAGACCAGAGAAGUAGUGGGUCUGGGCGAAACCCUGUGAGAAGCGAAAGGGGGAGUGAUCGAGGUCAAAACAACCGGGGUAAUCGAAUACUGGAGUCAAGGACCACAUCAACAAUAUCCGAGGCUUCUCUAUGUUCGGCCUCCGAUACUAGAGGCCAUCACCCUCGGACAAUGGUUUUGGUAAGGAGAGAAACUUUAUGCUCGAACUACCUAGGCUCAGUGGAUAGGAUUUAUUUUAAGGGCCAAACGGUCGAAUGAACCGUGCCCACAUAGACCACCCAAGCUCUGACACGAAUCAUGUACAUAUUUGUAACCUUGUAUAUUACAUACAGAAAUGAAAGAAACGUUUCUCCUUGCGGAUAAAUAUUUUGUCCCUUAAAAGUUUCUACAUUCGGUCCCCUAAAGAUAUCGAUGCCCAAGGGACACCUCUGUCCGGAUCCAAGAGGUCACCCUCACUUGGGGACUAUCGUCCAAGGCAGGCUCUGGUGACCGGGGGUAUCAAAGCCCGGAGGCACAAAGCUUAUUAGAUAGUGCCUAAACUUUAAAAGCUACGACCAUCCCCAUUCGAAACUAUCGUCCUGGGCAAGCCCGGAUAACUCAGGGUAACGAGCCCAUUGGGUAAUACCCAAACUUAAAAGACUACAACCGUCCUAGAACGACUUGAAGACGUCCGAGAUCCGUAAUAAAAAUAUAAGGCCUUCAAAAUUUCUAAACCGGUUCGAAAGCUACCCUCGGCAAAAUUAUAAAAAAUUCUAAGUGAACAUUUCGGAGAAAGCUUCCGGUCAUACCAAGCGCCCCCACAAGCCUUAAGAAAAAUAGUCUCGAAAACGAACAAUAUUCGAACCUCCGAAUAAGACUUAGUUAUUACAUGCUAAGGCAUCCGAAAUUUUUGCAAUCAUAAAGAAAAAAUCAAAAAGAAUCAAGCUUGAAAAUUGCCAAAGGGAAAAAGCUUAUAUAUAUAUANNNNNNNNNNNNNNNNNNNNNNNNNNNNNNNNNNNNNNNNNNNNNNNNNNNNNNAUAUAUAUACGCAAAUUUUUACAAAGGCCAAACGGCCUCAACAAAAUACAAAGGUACAAAAGCAAAAAAUUACAAGGCACCUAAGAAGCCUAAUCCUCGCCUAAUCCUCGCACUCCAAAGCCUAAUCCUCGGAUAUUUUUUACUUUUCAUAGAGUUGUACCUAGAAUAGGAUUCCCCUACUAUAUAAAGGGGGUCUGAUAAUUCAUUAAACAAAUAAUAACACGCACUCCAAAGUAAUAUAUUAUUAUUUUCUCUAUUAUUAGCUCUUUCUCUUGUUCAUCAGUGCUGGCCAUAGCGAGCCCAGAUCGAGGAUAAAUAUUUCGCUAAGGCUGGAACUAUCCCCUUCGUGUGGUUUGAAUCUGUUUUAUCUUUGUUUGUUCAAUUUGACUUAAUCUAUCGCUUUGUAUCAAAUUAAUCCGCAUAUUCUUAAAAUCACUUACAAAUUUAAUUGUUAUCCGAUUUUGAGUGUAAAUAGCUCUGUUACCUUGUAACUAGCUGGUUGACUAUUAUGCCUUUUUUUUUUCGUGACAAGGUAUGGUUUUUAGUAGUAAAACUUUUUACCAUGUUGUUGACUUACGGUGGAAAAAAAGGGUUAGGGAUUACAAUCAAUAGUUUGUUAGCUAUUAUUGAUUAUCUAGUUUCAUAUGCAAGUUAAUAAGUGAUUUGAGUAACUACAAAUAAAUCUAUAUGAUAGUAAUUAAUAUAAUUGAUAACUUUGUGAAAAUGAUAACUAAUAUGCGAUCACAGAGUAUAUUUCAAAAUUUCAUGAAGUUUGUGUGUCGCAAUUAAUUAUUCAAAUUAAUCAUUAAAAAAAUUACGGAUCGAAUUUCGGGAUUCGGGUGUUGAUUCGAAGCGGAUUAAGCCCAAAAUUUAAACGAGGACGAGGCAAUUCCCUUCUCUUUUUGUGGGCUCCGCAUCCUCAACGGGCGUCAGUGAAAAAGGCCAGUCAAUUAAAGGGAAUCCCAAACGAAACAAUUCCUCCGCGCUUUUCCAAACGUUAAAAGUUCAAAGGAUGGAGGGCAAUGUAGUACUUUAACGCUCAGCCCUCAUCAGAUUUAGACCAUUAAAACGUCGCCGUAUUGCUGGUCGAACGAACUUCAACUUCCAGUCUUCUGUCUUUCCCCAGAUAGAGAGAUUGCUGAUUAAUGUGUCUCUCAUUUUUCAAAUUUGUUCUUCUUCGCCCAAAUUUUGAAAACCCUAACAUUUUCAGAUUUUUCGAGAAAAGUGUCUAACAAAUUUUGCUUAUUGAGCUAUCGAGGAAAUAAUAAUGGUGGGAGGAGCAUUGGCAGGGUUACAAGAUCAUGUGAAAUUGGCAAGAGAAUAUGCAGUUGAAGGCCUUUAUGACACUUCCGUCAUCUUCUUCGAUGGCGCUAUUGCUCAGAUCAACAAGUACUCUCUCAGAUCCCUUCUUCUUUUAUGUCUUUAUUUGUCUACGUAUUUAUGGAGUUACGUCCCGAAUUGCGAAAUGCGUGUUCCAAUUUAUGGUGCGUUUGGUAUGACUAUUAAAUGUUUGCCGCAAUGAAAUCAUUUCCUGUGUUUGGUUUCCUUUGGGUUUUGGGAAGGUAUAAGAUGUAUUCCAGCAAAAGGGGAAAAUAACUUACUGUCACUUGUGAGCUGAAAUUUUUUCUUUUUGAUGAGUAAAAAAGUAAUUUUUAUUUGUGUACUGAUAUGAUGAGGCUUGCAUUAUCAUUUCUUUAAAAAGAUUUUGAAGCUUGACGUAGUACCCAUAAUGAGAUGAAGGCUUUAAUCUGUUCUCUGUCAUUUCUGCUAAACUUAGUUAUAACAUUGUCUAUACCGCUUUGAAAGUAGUUAAUCCAGCUGCUUUUAACUGGGAUUGUUCCAUUCUUUUGGUCUAUGCAUAGGCACUUAAACACACUUGAUGACCCUUUGAUUCGUUCAAAAUGGAUGAAUGUAAAGAAAGCAAUUUCCGAAGAAACAGAGGUAGUGAAACAAUUGGAUGCCGAGAAAAGGGCUUUUAAGGAGGUUCCUAUGGGUGGUAGACGUCCUAAUUCACCUCCGAUUUCGACCAAGUCAUCUUCUUUUGUCUUUCAACCGCUUGAUGAGUACCCCACCUCAUCCGGUGCUCCAAUGGAUGACCCCGAUGUUUGGAGACCACCAAGCCGAGACACAACAAGAAGAUCUGCAAGAGCCGGUCCAGGGGGUAUGAGGAAGGGCCCACAAGAUGGAGCCUGGGCUCGUGGAUCUACAAAGACUGGAACCACAGGCCGUGGGGGAAGGACCACUGGCUCUACUAAGGCUACAUCUGGGGUUCGAUCUUCAACUACUGGGAAAAAAGGACCUGGAAAAUCCACAAAAGCUGACUCUACGGUAAAUUAUAGUGGACAAUCUUAUGUUUUGAUUUUUGUUUUUUUCUGUAAUUUGCCUCUCUUGAAAAUUAUUCAUUGGUAAUUCGUGUGCUUUUCUGUUUACUAGUUCUGGGUACGCGCGUUGCGCGUAUACUUUAAUAUCAAUUAGUAUUAACUUUUUAAAAAUCAUAUAAAUAUAUAAACUUGACGUAAAAAUUCUAUAAAUACACAAGAAAAAAUAUAAAUGAGUUGUCCUUUUGACGACAACAACAACAACAACAAUAAGUAAAAAGAUGGAGAAAUUAGAGAGCAAAAUGAACAAUAGUGGGAUAAAUGUGAAGUGCUCUAAGGUUCUUCGACAACAAAUAUAGCUCUAUCUUUUCAAUGGGUAAAAUAAGUAGGAAUUUAGAAUUAAGUCCAAAAGUGAGAAUUGAGAGCAAUGGCUUAAUAUUAUUCCACUGAACUAAAUCAUUAUAUAACUAAUUUCAUCCCUAUGACUAUUAGAACUACUUUAGUAGACUGGUAACUAUUUGAAUCAUGUUCGACAUAGAAUAUAUAUGUCAUAUAAGCUGCACUGUUGCACAUUAUUAUAAGAAAAAAAAUAUUUGUUAGACUUCACUAAAAUAAAAUUCCAUAAUCCAGAUUUGGAUUUAAAAGUCCAAAUAUAUACAACUGCUCCUAUUAACAUUCAAAAUAAGUUCCAUGUACGUUAUGCAUUAAAUUCUAUUUUAAAAAAAAAGGCUAAGAAGUGACAAAUACGCAAUCCUCCAUUUACACAAACACAUAUUUUUAUAUUCAACCAUUACACUGAUCCACUCUCUUCCCAGAUCCCACCCCCUUCUGUUUCUUGCUAACUAUUUCUUAAGCUUCAUUUACCACAACUACAAUGGAGUUUAAAGAAGAGUGGAGAUGUAGGAUAUUUCUUGACAUUUUUAAUUUCUAAUUAACUAAUAUAAUUUACCUAUAAGUUGCACCUGAUUUUCUCCUCUUUUCACCUUUUUAUUGUGUCUGCAUAAUUAAUCUUUAGUUUUCAAGCAGUCCCGCAAGAAUCUACGAUGAUUCAAAUUUUUCACCCUCGCAAGAUAAGUGGUUUUUGACAAGAGUGGUUUGUUUUAGUGGUGAGCAUCCUCCACUUCCAACCAAGAGGUUAUGAGUUCGAGUCACCCCAAGAGCAAGGUGAGGAGUUCUUGGAGGGAGGGAGCCGAGGGUCUUAUCGGAAACAACCUCUCUAUCCCAGGGUAGGGGUAAGGUCUGCACAGUGUUUUGGAGAGCGAGAAGCGGAAAAAAGCGAGGAGGCUUCGCUUCACCGAAGCGAGAAGCGUGAAGCGAAGCGCGCGCUUUUUUCAUGUGAAGCGCAAUAUAACACAUAAAUAAAAAAAAUUAAAUAGGCAUAGAUAAAUGACGAAGAACUCAAUAAAAAUAACAUAUUAAGCAAAUAUUUCAAUUCUUAAAUUAAGAAGUAAAUAACAGAUACUAAAACUAGAUAGUCAAUAAUCCUCAAAAGUCAUAACAUAUUAAGCAAAUGCAAAACUAAAUCACAAAAGGAAUUGUUAAAACAUGGCAUAACAGUGAACAGCAGAAGAGAAGAAAGAACUGAAGGAGAAGAAGAGAAGAAGAGCAGAAGAGAAAAAGUCGAAGGUUGCAAUCGUCGCUUGCAGCAGUGAAGCAGAUGUUUGGAAGAAGUGUGCGCAAGUGUAUUUGCAAAUUUUUUUUAAGAAAACCCUAGGCAGCCGCUGGACCUCGCUUAAGCGAGCUUUUCUUCACUUUUUUCAUCACCUCGCUUCUCGCUUUUUAGGGUGAAGCGUGCGCUUGUUUACCAAUGCCACGCUUUAGGGCAGAAAAGCGCAGACCCCUCGCCUCGCCUCGCUUCUGCGCUUUAAGCGAGAAGCGUGCGCUUUUAAUAACACUGGGUCUGCGUACACACUACCCUCCCCAUACCCCACUAGUGGGAUUAUACUGGGUUGUUGUUGUUGUUGUUGCAAGAUAAGUGGUUUAUUUUACCGUAUCUUGAUAAAGUAAAUGGUUAUAUAGUGAUUCUAGGAAAAAAAGAAAUGAAACGAUAUAUAUGAACGGACAAUCAAUUAUGUAUAGUUUGCAUUAAGUAGAUGAAUUUGAUAUUGUAUUAAAUUAUUUGAAUGAAUUUAGUCUAUAAUUGAUGAAUUACUCAUGCAACUUUUCAAAUUCUCCAUAUCCUUUUAUAGCAUUUAAGGGUAAUGUUGUUUGGUGUAUAUAGGAAUAAUUUAUUUGUCUUUCAAUCUUUUACUUUGAGGCUUCCCACUUAUACUAUAUAUAUUUGUUAGAAUCCGUGCGGAAGCAUAAGAUGAAGUACUCCAAGAUGAAGUACUCCAGAGAGGCUUAAAGUAUAUUUCUCAUUCCACAAUCUAACUAAGUGGGCGUUUGGACAUAAGAAUUGUAAAAUUUCAAAACAAAAGUGAAAUUUUUUUCAAGCGAAGAUGAUAUUUGAAAAUUAGAGUUGUGUUUGGACAUGAGUAUAAUUUUGGGUUGUUUUUGAAGUUUUGUGAGUGAUUUGAGUGAAAAUUUUGAAAAACAGCUUUUUGGAGUUUUUCAAAUUUUCGAAAAAUUCUAAAAUUCAUCUUCAAGUGAAAAUUGGAAAUUUUAUGGCCAAACACUGAUUUCGAAAAAAAGUGAAAAAAUUCUUAUGUCCAAACGGGCUCUAAGUUUGCUUUUUAAAUGACAUUGCACUGAAUGCAUCUACAAUUUUCUAAAAAGUUAUCUUCAAUCCAACAUGAAAAGCAUACAAAAUACAAUGAAUUAAUUAAAAUUUGCAGUGUCUCUUAAAUGUGUACAAUAACAGUUGAACGCAUGACAACCCAUUAUUGGAAUUAUUUUUUCUUUCAUGAAUAUUGUGAAUUAUUUACCACCACAACAUUAAGUACAAAACAUCAUUUAAUGGAAGGUAAUUUUACUUUUAGAUAGAGGGUAAUUUGGUCAUUCAGUUUUCAAAGGACAUUUCAGUAAACUAACUUUACCUAAAAGUGUUCAUGCUUAUAAUAUUGUAUGAUUUAGAAAUUUGUGAUUAGUUAGUCAGCUGACUGUUUAUGUUGUAUGUGGCAAGCUGCAAAUGUCAUUUUUAUCAUACGUGUAGCUUGUUCUGGUCAGUUAAUCAGCUGAGUGUCUAUGGUGUGUGCCAAUCUCCAAGUUUUAUUUUUAUCCUAAUAUGUGUCUUGUUGUGGUUACCUUAUAUGUAAGUGUUCCUAUUGAAUACAAGGACAAUCGGCUUCAUAAUGCUUUCUAAUUCCAUAACUGUUACUUGUUGAAUAUGGGUGUCCUUGUUAGACCAUCAACUAUGAGUUGAAUCUGAGUCUAUAUGUUAAGAACUUCUAUUGCAAAUUGCUAGGAUGGUGAUGCUGAAGAAGGGAAGAGUAAAAAAGGUCAGUACGAGGGGCCUGAUGCGGACCUGGCUGCUAUGCUUGAGAGGGAUGUCUUGGAUUCCACCCCUGGUGUGAGAUGGGACGAUGUUGCUGGGUUAAGUGAAGCCAAAAGACUUUUGGAGGAAGCAGUUGUUCUCCCAUUAUGGAUGCCAGAUUAUUUCCAGGUAUCAUAGUUGGAUUAGAAGGGAACAUUUGUGGAGUUUUGUGUUUUGUCUUUAUUCUGCAAAGUAGCUUUUGUACAAGUGAAGAUUCACGUGCACAUGAGUAAACUGUACUUCUUAUGAUGAGAAUAUGAAGACCUUAUAUGAUUUGGGCAACAGUACCUAGUGGCUACUUUAGCAAAAACUUUGUGCUAAAUGUACUAGGAGCUUUUAUGGUAGUGUUAUGUUCACACACCUAUCAAAGAGGAAAUAAUGCAUCUUCGACCUAUAUGCAUCGUGUCACACUUUUUACUGAUCAGAUAUGUAUCUUUGCAGGGAAUCAGGAGACCAUGGAAGGGUGUUCUUAUGUUUGGGCCUCCUGGAACGGGGAAGACACUUUUGGCUAAGGCUGUUGCUACAGAGUGUGGGACGACAUUUUUCAAUGUUUCUUCUGCCACUUUGGCUUCAAAAUGGCGCGGGGAGAGUGAACGCAUGGUGCGGUGCUUGUUUGAUCUUGCUCGCGCUUAUGCUCCUAGUACAAUUUUCAUUGAUGAGAUUGAUUCUCUUUGUAAUGCCCGAGGGUGAGGACUUUGUCUAUUAUUCGAUGCUACCUAAAUCUUUUCAGCUGACCUCUGUUUGGUUAAAUGCUUCUUUUGAAGAUUAUGUAUGAUGUUGGUUUAUACUAGUGUCGGAUAUAAAAGCUUUCACUUGUAUCUUUUCGAAUGGAUAAAAAUUAACCUUUUGAAAUGAGUACUGUUGCCUCCAAAUACUUGGUCCAGUGUGCCUUAAUCUGUGACCUAAUUAUGGUAUGUUGAGUAGUUUCUUACACUCUUUUUGAGGUUGAACCUGAGAUAAUGGUUGGAUCGCUUUUCAGGGGUUCAGGAGAGCAUGAAUCAUCCCGAAGGGUGAAGUCUGAACUUCUUGUUCAGGUAGAUGGUGUAAGCAACUCUUCCACUAAUGAAGAUGGCACUCGGAAGAUUGUGAUGGUUUUAGCAGCUACAAACUUUCCAUGGGACAUAGAUGAGGCAUUAAGGUUGUGUCUCAUCGUAUUCGUUCUUUUCCUUUAAUUCAUUGAGAUGCAUGUGAAUGUCUCCUCGACCUAAUUCUGUUGAUGGAAAUUCAGGAGACGUUUGGAAAAACGUAUAUAUAUUCCCCUACCUAGCUUUGAGAGUCGGAAGGAGCUUAUACGGAUCAAUUUGAAAAGUAUUGAGGUAAGCAGUGUUUUGAAAAUGUUUUCUCAGUCCACUUUCUCGUCUUUCGUAUGUCCCUGUUAGCUCCUCAUGUAUCUGUCUAUAGCUUCUUUGAAUGUAAUUGCCCUUGCAGUAUAUAUUGUGUUUAUCAAAGCUAUGAUUAUUAGUUCACUAUGAGAAAAUUCUACUGUAUGAUUGGUGCAUAUUUAUCAAUCUUGGUAGCUGUGGCUUGUGGACUUUUUCACCUGGCUACUGUGGCAUCCUAGAAUAAUAACGAGAUUUCAAAGAGAUAAAAGGGAAAAACAAAUAACAAGAAGGCCAAGUAGAUAUUGAGCAAUAUAACAUACAGUUAUUCUGUUGCUUUUGUAUCAGAUGAAUUAAAACCUUUAGAAACAAUAUGUGAUUAUGUUCUACGAAAGACUGUCUUAAGCCUAAUCUGGAAAAUGCUCUUCUAACUGUUAUAGCUAUCUUGCCCUGGAGUAAAUAAUGGGAAUGUGUACUGAUACCUGUGAAAAGAUGUUGAUCCACUAAUGGAUGCAAAGCAGUUUUCUUUUUAAUUGAUCCUUUUAGGUGUUUGUCAGAUAGGUAACGCUGUAUGAACUCUUUGGUGAAGGUUGAGAUACGAGGCUUUGGAAAAGUCACUCCGAACACUUGCUCUUGCAUAAUUAAGUAUAUAAAUGUUCACUUUACAUGAUUUAAAAAAAGGAAAAAUUAAAUACAUGGAUGUUGAACUUAGAUGUCUUGUCAUUGGAAUUUGGUGAAUCAAAGAUGUGAUGUGUUUGCGUUAGUGCAGGAUUUGGUAAUUGUACUCAAAACAUUAUGUCUUGGAUGUCUUGUUUUAUUAACAGCUAUGCUGUGUUAUGUUGAUCUAUAUCUGAAGUUUCUUCUGAUUUGUUUUUAUGGGUAAAAUUUUAUUACCUUGCAUUUACUUGCACAAAAUGUUAAAUUAUAGUUUAUUCAACCCAUAGUUGCAUCCUUUUCAAUUGUUAAUGUUUAAGGCGCUGCUACUCAAAAAAUGCACGUAGAAAGUUUAAGACAGCUUAUGACAGGCGAACUUUGUUUCAGAUGUUUGGACUUUGAAGAAUACUCUACAUCCUUGACAUUUCAUUGAGUUUUCUGCUUUUGCAGGAAUAGUAAAUGGGGACAGACUUCAAUUAGGAAUUUUUAGUUAAAAGUUGGUCUCAAUUUGAAUAUUCUUGAUAUUCUUUUUCUUUUUGUUUUGAAUUCCGUACAAGCAUGCUUUUUCUCCAAUUUCUCAAGGCAUCAACAUUACAAAAAGUACGUCUCUUUAUUUGUACACCUGGCUUUCCAUCUAAUUGAAUUCUAGCUUGUAAAAAUAUUUUUCUAAGGAUUAUGCUUCUGCCUUCUGAGGGAUGAGUUUGAAGGAAUUCUACCUAGUUUUUUCGUUGGAUGAAUCUUUCGUUUAACAGUGCAAAUAUCUGGCAAUGACAUCAGGUAGCUCCAGAUGUGGACAUAGAGGAAGUGGCUCGUAAAACAGAGGGAUAUAGUGGAGAUGACCUCACAAAUGUCUGCCGAGAUGCUUCUAUGAAUGGCAUGAGACGAAUGAUAGCUGGGAAGACCCGCGAGGAGAUUAAGAACAUGUCUAAGGAUGAGAUUGCUAAGGAUCCUGUUGCAAUGUGCGACUUUUUAGAAGCCAUUAGCAAAGUUCAACCAAGUGUCUCAGCUGCUGACAUUGAAAAACAUGAGAAAUGGUUUUCGGAAUUUGGAUCAGCUUAAAGGAUAAACUGAUGCAAGCAAUUCACUCAUUUUCUUUACAUUUUUUUGUCCAUGUUUGGUGGUUGGUUCUUCUGGUACUCCUUCUCACUUGUGUACUAUUCAUAUUCUGAUCAGCACUGGAAUGAUCAACUUAUGUAACAUGACAAAUCACUAGGGGUUCAUACCUCGGUGUUCAUAGGUCAGUCAAUUGACUGGUUAUUUUCUUGCAUUUGAUUUAAUUUUUUCGCUGUCGUGGAAGUGUCCAUUGCAAUUAUGAGAUGGAAGGUGGUUUAAUUUUUUAGCUGUCAUGGAAGUGUCCAUUGCAAUUAUGUGGUGGAAGGUACUUAACUCUGUAGAACUUGUCUGUAACUUUAUUAAAGGAAAUUCCUUAAUUAGAAUCUAGAGAGUUAAGUCAUAGCAUCUUGUGACCUCAUGGUUUCAUUCAAUACAAUGUUGCAACUUAAGCAAAUAGCAGUUCUCUGAAAGUAAAAUAUCUACUUGGUCAGCUUGAUAUGUUUUGUGAGGCUGAUAGAUGCUCCAAAGAAGCAAAGAGCAGUUCUCUGAAAGUAAAGCUGAUUCAAGCUUUGACACUCUUUAACACAUACUUUUAAAUGCCAGUAUGCAAAAAAGCCUUUCUGAUCCAGACCACAUCUGCUUAAUACUCACAUGUAACUAACAGCAUAGUCCUUAGUGAUUUAGUGGGCGUUUGGACAUGAGAAUUGUAAAAUUCCAAAAUAGGGUGAAAACAUUUUUCAACUGCCAAUGGUAUUUGAAAUUUAGAAUUGUGUUUGGACAUGAAUAUACUUUUUGAGUUGGUUUUGAAGUUUUGUGAGUGAUUUGAGUGAAAAUUUUGAAAAACAGUUUUUUGGAGUUUUUCAAAUUUUCGAAAAUUUUCAAAAUGCAUCUUUAAGUGAAAUUUGAAAAUUUUAUGAACAAAUGUUGAUUUCGAAAAAAAUAAAUUUUUUUUGAAAAAAGGGAAAAAUUUCUUAUGUCCAAACAGGCUCUUAGAAUAGCGAUAUGAAUUGCUUAUUUGAGCCACUAAAGACGUUAAAAUAGGCUUGUCAAAGCUGGAUUUGUCAAUAGUACUGUAAAGCAACAUGAAGCUGAAAACACACACACACUUCAAAACCUUUUUUCUUGAUAAACACUCCGAUUUAUAAAACAAAAAAUAAAGUUAAAACAGAUGUCUUAACUUAAGCCUCAUCUCCAAUACAUGUGCUUUCAGAUUAAGAAGAUGCAUAUAGAAGCUACAGUUGUAUUCCACACUUAAAUCAGUGAAUUAGUUUGGAUUCAAUGACCAGAAAUUAAAUGUACAGAAUUCACGCAACUUAACAAUCUAGAUAAUAAAAAAGAGUGUAAUUAACCGAGUUCCAAUAAAUAAAUUAAAUUGUAUCCACGAUAAAGGGAAAGUUCAGGGGAGGGAGGGAGAUAGAGGGACAGAGAGAGGAACACUACAUCUUUGGAGGCAAAUAACACCUAGAAUCAAUUACAAACUAUACGUGAAUGCAGGUUAAUCUGACAUUACAAAGUUAUCGUAUGAGAAUAUCAGUGUACAUAGUACAACAACAAAUCCCACAAGUGGGGUGUGGGGAGGGUAGUGUGUACACAGACCUUAAGGUAGAGAGGUUGUUUCCGAUAGGCCCUCUAUAUCAAUGUACAUAGUACUUCAGCUUUAUCAAGCAAAAGAACAAGAGGACAUACAAAUUCGUCUACGAUGAAUCUUCCCAAGGGUAAAAAUCAGCAGUAAGGGGGUAAAUGUUUCUUAGAUUACCCUUUGCAGAAAAUUUAUGCAUCGCUAAAUCAUAGAGAUUUGUCUUGCCAAUGCCUCCAUUAAGUGGGAGAAAGAUAACGUAUUUGACACAACCAAAUUACAUAAUCGAUCAAAGCAACAAAACCUCUUACCAUCACGAGAGGGACAAAAGCUAUUUCAUUUAUAACAUAACCAAAAGCAUACUCGAUACAUCACUCAAAGAUCGGGAUGAUCUUAUUCUUUAAAUGAAUCUAUUACAAUUAUAUGACUGAAAAACUGCUUACUAACUAAUACUUGUAAAAACCAGAAUACAAAGUAUUGGGUUUGGAAUGAAUUGGUUACAUCUCCCUAAUGGAGACAAUACAGAUCAAAACAAUAUUGAAUACUAAAUCAAGGAGGCAUAGCCCUCAAACCCUUGAAUCAAUUACCUUAACUAAAAAUCUAUGGCAGUUAAACAAUACCAUUAGCUACAUUGGCCUUAA